RNAcentral lists this long non-coding RNA (1041 nucleotides) under Homo sapiens (human). RNAcentral describes it as "HSALNT0119448". Lineage: Eukaryota; Metazoa; Chordata; Mammalia; Primates; Hominidae. The record is from RNAcentral.
UGAAUGUUUGGGAAUGAGAGGAUAAAUGAGUGAUGCUUGAAAACAGACCACAUUGAAAAUCCUGCCACGGCAGCAGCUGCAGCCACCAACAGCAGUGGUGUUAGUGACCUAAGUAAGCACCGACUUCGUAGAAACCAGAACAUCAGCCAUCUUGGAAAAGAGAAAAACAAUGGAGUUACUUAUUUAAGAAAAACAAAAAACAAACAAACAAACAAAAAACACAACUAUUUCUUCCCAGGAGAGGCUAGAAGUAGCUUUUCUGCCUUCUGGCCGGAGCCAAUUGGAAUGACUGGUUUGGGAGAGGAGGAGGGGUUGUGUCAGCUGUGGUGCUUUGUUGUAAAAGGCAGCCUGACCUUUGCUACUGAGGAGAAAGAUGGAGCCGAGUCUCAAGCCCACCUUCUCUGUAUCUUUGCCACGUGGUACUGUAUGCCUGCCAGCUAGAAGGAAGAAUGUGAGCUCUACAGUGUCAGGCGUCUUGGAACUGGAUCAUGGCUCUGGAGCUCUACAAUCAGCAUGAGGCAAAGCCAGAUAAGCCUGCGACCUGCUCUUCAGGGUGGUGAGAUCCUCCAGACUCCAGCACCCAGAGAUGCUCUCCUGAGGCCCAGACCACCACUGCCAGCCAUGGAGGAGGAGUGGCGUUGGCGAUUCAGGACUGCUUUUUCUGUCUCUUCAGUGCCUCUCUCAGCAACAUGAAGGUAAAAACCAGGUUACACCUGUGGCCACAUGGAGGAGUCCUAAAUGACCAACUGAAGGAGAAGCAAAAAACCGAAGCAUGGCUUAUAAUGGGCCUGCUCAGUGUUUAGGCGCCAGCCAAAAAUGGGCAGCAGCUACCUUGCAGCCACACUCCAGGGUGAACUUGCAAGACUUCAACAAAUGGUACAUCUGGUCAGGUACUUUGUGUAGAAGGAAAAAUGAUCUGAGGUGUAAAACCAAGCUGUAGCCCAACCACCUGGGGAACAUGUUUUCAAGACCUCCUGCUGUUGUAUCAUAAGUCAUGCUCCUCAAAUUUGGCUCAGAAUAAAUCUCUUCAAAUAUUUUACA